AUAGCUAAUCUGCCCUACACUAGAGGACAACAGUUGGAAACGACUGCUAAUACUCUAUACUCCUCUUUAACAUAAGUUAGAUAGGGAAAGUUUUUCGGUGUAGGAUGAGGCUAUAUUGUAUCAGCUAGUUGGUGAGGUAAUGGCUCACCAAGGCUAUGACGCAUAACUGGUCUGAGAGGAUGAUCAGUCACACUGGAACUGAGACACGGUCCAGACUCCUACGGGAGGCAGCAGUAGGGAAUAUUGCUCAAUGGGGGAAACCCUGAAGCAGCAACGCCGCGUGGAGGAUGACACUUUUCGGAGCGUAAACUCCUUUUGUUAGGGAAGAACAAUGACGGUACCUAACGAAUAAGCACCGGCUAACUCCGUGCCAGCAGCCGCGGUAAUACGGAGGGUGCAAGCGUUACUCGGAAUCACUGGGCGUAAAGGACGCGUAGGCGGAUUAUCAAGUCUCUUGUGAAAUCCUAUGGCUUAACCAUAGAACUGCUUGGGAAACUGAUAAUCUAGAGUGAGGGAGAGGCAGAUGGAAUUGGUGGUGUAGGGGUAAAAUCCGUAGAGAUCACCAGGAAUACCCAUUGCGAAGGCGAUCUGCUGGAACUCAACUGACGCUAAUGCGUGAAAGCGUGGGGAGCAAACAGGAUUAGAUACCCUGGUAGUCCACGCCCUAAACGAUGUAUACUAGUUGUUGCUAAGCUAGUCUUGGCAGUAAUGCACCUAACGGAUUAAGUAUACCGCCUGGGGAGUACGGUCGCAAGAUUAAAACUCAAAGGAAUAGACGGGGACCCGCACAAGCGGUGGAGCAUGUGGUUUAAUUCGAAGAUACGCGAAGAACCUUACCCGGACUUGAUAUCUAACAAAUCAUCUAGAGAUAGAAGAGUGUCUGCUCGCAGAAAUGUUAAGACAGGUGCUGCACGGCUGUCGUCAGCUCGUGUCGUGAGAUGUUGGGUUAAGUCCCGCAACGAGCGCAACCCACGUCAUUAGUUGCUAACAGUUCGGCUGAGCACUCUAAUGAGACUGCCUUCGUAAGGAGGAGGAAGGUGUGGACGACGUCAAGUCAUCAUGGCCCUUAUGUCCGGGGCGACACACGUGCUACAAUGGCAUAUACAAUGAGAAGCAAUAUCGCGAGAUGGAGCAAAUCUAUAAAAUAUGUCCCAGU
This 1156-nucleotide ribosomal RNA is filed under the name Campylobacter concisus. RNAcentral's name for it is "bacterial SSU rRNA". It matches the Rfam family "Bacterial small subunit ribosomal RNA", at positions 117 to 1292 of the family's 1533-position model. Lineage: Bacteria; Pseudomonadati; Campylobacterota; Epsilonproteobacteria; Campylobacterales; Campylobacteraceae. The record is from RNAcentral.